UACGAAGGGUGCAAGCGUUACUCGGAAUUACUGGGCGUAAAGCGUGCGUAGGCGGUUUGUUAAGUCUGUCGUGAAAGCCCCGGGCUCAACCUGGGAAUGGCGAUGGAUACUGGCGAGCUAGAGUACGGUAGAGGAGAGUGGAAUUCCCGGUGUAGCAGUGAAAUGCGUAGAGAUCAGGAGGAACAUCAGUUGCGAAGGCGGCUCUCUGGACCAGUACUGACGCUGAGGCACGAAAGCGUGGGGAGCAAACAGG
RNAcentral lists this ribosomal RNA (253 nucleotides) under uncultured bacterium. RNAcentral describes it as "partial 16S ribosomal RNA". It matches the Rfam family "Bacterial small subunit ribosomal RNA", at positions 524 to 776 of the family's 1533-position model. The record is from RNAcentral.